Molecule: ribosomal RNA, 272 nt
Filed under: uncultured archaeon
Lineage: Archaea
Description: partial 16S ribosomal RNA
Rfam family: Archaeal small subunit ribosomal RNA
Source: RNAcentral
CAGCGCCACAAGUGGGGAUCCUGUUUAUUUGGCCUAAAGCGUCCGUAGCUGGUUUAGUAAAUCUUUUGUGAAAUCGUUAAGCUUAACUUAACGGCGUGCAGGAGAGACUGCUAAGCUAGGGACCGGGAGGAGUCAGAGGUAUGCUUGGGGGAGCGGUAAAAUGCUAUAAUCCCUAGUGGACCACCUAUGGCGAAGGCAUCUGACUAGAACGGGUCCGACAGUGAGGGACGAAAGCCCUGGGGCACAAACCGGAUUAGAUACCCGAGUAGUCC